RNAcentral lists this ribosomal RNA (854 nucleotides) under uncultured bacterium. RNAcentral describes it as "bacterial SSU rRNA". It matches the Rfam family "Bacterial small subunit ribosomal RNA", at positions 9 to 873 of the family's 1533-position model. The record is from RNAcentral.
AGAGUUUGAUCAUGGCUCAGAAUGAACGUUGGCGGCGUGGAUUAGGCAUGCAAGUCGAGCGAUCAUCAGCAAUGGUGGGAGCGGCGAACGGCGUAGGAAUUCAUAGGAACGUACCCUCGGGUCGGGGAUAGCUACGGGAAACUGUAGGUAAUACCCGAUGAUCUCUGCGGAGCAAAGGUGUGAUUCCGCCCGAGGAGCGGCUUAUGCGAUAUUAGCUAGUUGGUGAGGUAAUGGCUCACCAAGGCGAAGAUGUCUAGGGGGUGUGAGAGCAUGGCCCCCACGACCGGAACUGAGACACUGUCCGGACACCUACGGGUGGCUGCAGUCGAGAAUCUUCCGCAAUGGACGAAAGUCUGACGGAGCGACGCCGCGUGCGAGAUGAAGGCCCUUGGGUUGUAAACCGCUGUCAGAGGGGAUGAAAUCUUCGGAGGUACUCCUCCGAAGUUGACAGAGCCUCAAAGGAAGCACGGGCUAAGUACGUGCCAGCAGCCGCGGUAACACGUACUGUGCGAACGUUAUUCGGAAUCACUGGGCUUAAAGGGUGCGUAGGCGGCGAUUCAAGUCAGAUGUGAAAUGCCUGAGCUCAACUGAGGCAUUGCGUUUGAAACUGAUUCGCUUGAGUAUUUCAGGGGUGUGCGGAACUGCCAGUGGAGCGGUGAAAUGUGUUGAUAUUGGCAGGAACACCGGAGGCGAAAGCGGCACACUGGGGAAUAACUGACGCUGAGGCACGAAAGCCAGGGGAGCGAACGGGAUUAGAUACCCCGGUAGUCCUGGCUGUAAACGAUGAGCACCUGGGCGGGAGGGGGUUUCCCCUUUCUGCCGUAGCGAAAGCGUUAAGUGUCCGCUGGAGAUGA